Molecule: long non-coding RNA, 357 nt
Organism: Amblyraja radiata (thorny skate)
Lineage: Eukaryota; Metazoa; Chordata; Chondrichthyes; Rajiformes; Rajidae
Exons: 2
Source: RefSeq, a predicted model, not a curated record
CGGGUGCAGCAGCAUCUAUGGAGCGAAGGAAAUAGGCAACGUUUCGGGCCGAAACCCUUCUUCAGACCAUUCAGAUAUCUAGAUACUUGCCUGGUCCUUCGACCUCAGCCUAACGCUGUUGAAAAUUCUGGUUUCUACUGCAGACUGAAGCAGAGCUUCAUGCCGAUGGUGAGAAAUGAAUGUGUCUAACAUGUGUGGAUGAUAUCAUACCUCAAGAGCAAUGAGCUCAUGAGAGAUACCUUACAUUACACAGAGGUAAUUUCCACGUUAUGACUCUGCUGGAUUCUGUUUAUGCAUGAUUGCUUAAUAUGCCAAAACAAUUCACAUGAAGGCUGUAUUAAUAAAUGGUUUAACUUG